CUGAUACAAUGAUAGCAUAGUUCAGCAGAUUAAACCAUGAAGAUUAUAAGCGCUGUCUUUCGCUCCUAUCUGAUGUAUCAA
Small nucleolar RNA from Pseudoliparis swirei, 81 nucleotides. RefSeq annotates it as small nucleolar RNA snR60/Z15/Z230/Z193/J17. NCBI's taxonomy places the organism in Eukaryota, Metazoa, Chordata, Actinopteri, Perciformes, Liparidae. The transcript has a single exon. The record is from RefSeq and is a predicted model, not a curated record.